AAGGAAUAUUGGUCAAUGGACGCAAGUCUGAACCAGCCAUGCCGCGUGGAGGAUUAAGGCCCUCUGGGUUGUAAACUCCUUUUAUCUGGGAAGAAAUGUACUUUUUCUUGAGUACUUGACGGUACCAGAGGAAUAAGCACCGGCUAACUCCGUGCCAGCAGCCGCGGUAAUACGGAGGGUGCAAGCGUUAUCCGGAUUCACUGGGUUUAAAGGGUGCGUAGGUGGGCAGGUAAGUCAGUGGUGAAAUCUCCGGGCUUAACCCGGAAACUGCCGUUGNAACUAUUUGUCUUGAAUAUUGUGGAUGUAAGCGGAAUAUGUCAUGUAGCGGUGAAAUGCUUAGAUAUGACAUAGAACACAAAUUGCGAAGGCAGCUUACUACACAAUCAUUGACGCUGAGGCACGAAAGCGUGGGGAUCAAAC
This 420-nucleotide ribosomal RNA is filed under the name uncultured bacterium. RNAcentral describes it as "bacterial SSU rRNA". It matches the Rfam family "Bacterial small subunit ribosomal RNA", at positions 356 to 773 of the family's 1533-position model. The record is from RNAcentral.